This 545-nucleotide ribosomal RNA is filed under the name Klebsiella aerogenes. RNAcentral's name for it is "bacterial SSU rRNA". It matches the Rfam family "Bacterial small subunit ribosomal RNA", at positions 551 to 1096 of the family's 1533-position model. The record is from RNAcentral. Lineage: Bacteria; Pseudomonadati; Pseudomonadota; Gammaproteobacteria; Enterobacterales; Enterobacteriaceae.
UUACUGGGCGUAAGCGCACGCAGGCGGUCUGUCAAGUCGGAUGUGAAAUCCCCGGGCUCAACCUGGGAACUGCAUUCGAAACUGGCAGGCUAGAGUCUUGUAGAGGGGGGUAGAAUUCCAGGUGUAGCGGUGAAAUGCGUAGAGAUCUGGAGGAAUACCGGUGGCGAAGGCGGCCCCCUGGACAAAGACUGACGCUCAGGUGCGAAAGCGUGGGGAGCAAACAGGAUUAGAUACCCUGGUAGUCCACGCCGUAAACGAUGUCGACUUGGAGGUUGUGCCCUUGAGGCGUGGCUUCCGGAGCUAACGCGUUAAGUCGACCGCCUGGGGAGUACGGCCGCAAGGUUAAAACUCAAAUGAAUUGACGGGGGCCCGCACAAGCGGUGGAGCAUGUGGUUUAAUUCGAUGCAACGCGAAGAACCUUACCUACUCUUGACAUCCAGAGAACUUUCCAGAGAUGGAUUGGUGCCUUCGGGAACUCUGAGACAGGUGCUGCAUGGCUGUCGUCAGCUCGUGUUGUGAAAUGUUGGGUUAAGUCCCGCAACGAG